AGUGAACGCUGGCGGUAGGCCUAACACAUGCAAGUCGAACGGCAGCACAGUAAGAGCUUGCUCUUACGGGUGGCGAGUGGCGGACGGGUGAGGAAUACAUCGGAAUCUACUUUUUCGUGGGGGAUAACGCAGGGAAACUUACGCUAAUACCGCAUACGACCUACGGGUGAAAGCAGGGGAUCUUCGGACCUUGCGCGAUUGAAUGAGCCGAUGUCGGAUUAGCUAGUUGGCGGGGUAAAGGCCCACCAAGGCGACGAUCUGUAGCUGGUCUGAGAGGAUGAUCAGCCACACUGGAACUGAGACACGGUCCAGACUCCUACGGGAGGCAGCAGUGGGGAAUAUUGGACAAUGGGCGCAAGCCUGAUCCAGCCAUACCGCGUGGGUGAAGAAGGCCUUCGGGUUGUAAAGCCCUUUUGUUGGGAAAGAAAAGCAGCAGGUUAAUACCCCGCUGUUCUGACGGUACCCAAAGAAUAAGCACCGGCUAACUUCGUG
RNAcentral lists this ribosomal RNA (492 nucleotides) under uncultured bacterium. RNAcentral describes it as "partial 16S ribosomal RNA". It matches the Rfam family "Bacterial small subunit ribosomal RNA", at positions 29 to 507 of the family's 1533-position model. The record is from RNAcentral.